This 73-nucleotide transfer RNA is filed under the name Nanobdellota archaeon. RNAcentral's name for it is "tRNA-Val". It matches the Rfam family "tRNA". Rfam says of the family: Transfer RNA (tRNA) molecules are approximately 80 nucleotides in length. Their secondary structure includes four short double-helical elements and three loops (D, anti-codon, and T loops). The record is from RNAcentral. Lineage: Archaea; Nanobdellati; Nanobdellota.
GGGCUCGUAGUCUAGUGGUUAUGACGCCGCCCUUACAAGGCGGAGAUCGGCGGUUCAAUUCCGCCCGAGCCCA